GAAUCACCAUUUGUGUUCUCCUGCCUCAAUGCAACAAACUUCUGCAGACAGUUCCUUAAGUCAAUAGCUCCAAAAUAAUAAGAGAACUUCUCUAUGUUAGUGAUAUCCCCAAAAGAGCAGUUGGUGCCAACAGCUUGGUCAAAAACAGCAGCUAAUUCUUCUGUUAAUGCAGUGAGCCUCAAGUCCAUUGCUCGCAAUAAUUCAUUCUUGGAAGCAUCUGAUGAAGAAGGGUUACCAUCGUGAUCAACUGUUGGUGCUGUAGAAUUUGAGUAGCUGACAUCUG
Molecule: unclassified non-coding RNA, 283 nt
Filed under: Hevea brasiliensis (rubber tree)
Lineage: Eukaryota; Viridiplantae; Streptophyta; Magnoliopsida; Malpighiales; Euphorbiaceae
Source: RNAcentral